Molecule: transfer RNA, 82 nt
Filed under: Fonsecaea multimorphosa CBS 102226
Lineage: Eukaryota; Fungi; Ascomycota; Eurotiomycetes; Chaetothyriales; Herpotrichiellaceae
Description: tRNA-Ser (TGA) (tRNA-Ser-TGA-1-1)
Rfam family: tRNA
About the family: Transfer RNA (tRNA) molecules are approximately 80 nucleotides in length. Their secondary structure includes four short double-helical elements and three loops (D, anti-codon, and T loops). Further hydrogen bonds mediate the characteristic L-shaped molecular structure. tRNAs have two regions of fundamental functional importance: the anti-codon, which is responsible for specific mRNA codon recognition, and the 3' end, to which the tRNAs corresponding amino acid is attached (by aminoacyl-tRNA synthetases). tRNAs cope with the degeneracy of the genetic code in two manners: having more than one tRNA (with a specific anti-codon) for a particular amino acid; and 'wobble' base-pairing, i.e. permitting non-standard base-pairing at the 3rd anti-codon position.
Source: RNAcentral
GUCAGUGUGGCCGAGUGGUCUAAGGCGUGUGACUUGAAAUCACAUCUCUUCGGAGGCACAGGUUCGAGCCCUGUCGCUGACG